Molecule: ribosomal RNA, 256 nt
Filed under: uncultured bacterium
Lineage: Bacteria
Description: partial 16S ribosomal RNA
Rfam family: Bacterial small subunit ribosomal RNA
Source: RNAcentral
UAAUACAGAGGUGUCAAGCGUUGCUCGGUAUCACUGGGCUUAAAGGGCGCGUAGGCUGUGCGGUACGGUUCGGGUGAAAUCCCUCGGCUCAACCGAGGAACUGCCCGGGCGACGGCCGCGCUGGACUGCAUCAGAGGAUGAUGGAACUCCCGGUGGAGCGGUGAAAUGCGUAGAUAUCGGGAGGAACGCCGGUGGCGAAAGCGAUCAUCUGGGGUGCUAGUGACGCUGAGGCGCGAAAGCCAGGGGAGCAAACGGG